This 1084-nucleotide long non-coding RNA is filed under the name Homo sapiens (human). RNAcentral describes it as "HSALNT0006348". The record is from RNAcentral. Lineage: Eukaryota; Metazoa; Chordata; Mammalia; Primates; Hominidae.
AAAGACCAUAAGUGGCCAAAAAUAGGGAAAGGCAAGCUAAGAGCCAAAUCAUGAAUGAACUACCAUUCACAACUGCCACAAAAGAAUAGAAUAUCUAGGAAUACAUCUAACAAUGGAAGUGAAGGACCUUUUUGAGAAGAACUACAAACCACUGCUCAGAGAAAUCUGAGAGGACACAAACAAGUGGGAAAGCAUUCCAUGCUCAUGGAUAGGAAGAAUCAAUAUCAUGAAAAUGGCCAUGUUGCUCAAAGCAAUUUAUGGAUUCAAUGCUGUUCCCAUUAAACUACUAUUGAGAUUCUUCAUAGAAUUAGAAAAAACUUUUAAAAUUCAUAUGGGGCUGGGUGCAGUGGCUCAUGCCUGUAAUCCCAACACUUUGGAAGGCCAAGGUGGGAGGAUCACUUGAGUUCAGGGGUUCAAGACCAGCAUGGCCAACAUGGUGAUACCUCAUCUCUACUGAAAAUACAAAAAUUAGCUGGGCAUGAUGGCUGGCAUCUGUAAUCCCAGCUACUCAGGAGGCUGAGACAUGAGAAUCGCUUGAACCCGGGAGGUGGAGGUUGCAGUGAGCCAGGAGCACACCACUGCACUCCAGCCUGGGUGACAGAGUGAGAGUCAGACUCUCAGACUCAAAAAAAAAAAAAAAAAACAAAACACUCACAUGGAACCCAAAAAGAGCCUGAGUAGCCAAGACAAUCCUAAGAAAACAAACAAACAAACAAACCAAAGCUGGAGGCCUCUUCAAAUUAUUCCACAAGACUACAGUAACUAAAAAAGCAUGGUACUGGUACAAGAACAGACACAGAGACCAAUGGAACAGAAUAGGGAACCCACAAAUAAGACUGCACACCUACAAUCAUCUGAUCUUCAGCCAAGUCAACAAUAACAAGCAAUGGAAAAAGGAUUCCCUAUUUAAUAAACCAUGCUGGGAGAACUGGGUAGUCAUAUGGAAAAAAUGGAAACUUCCUUACAUUAUGUGCAAAAAUCAACUCAAGAUGGAUUAAAGAACCCAAAACUAUGAAAACUCCAGACAAAAAUCUAGGCAAUACCAUUCAGGACAUAGGACACCGGGGCCUGUUGUGAGGUGGGG